UAAUACGUAGGUGGCAAGCGUUGUCCGGAUUUACUGGGCGUAAAGCGCGUGUAGGCGGCUCGUUAAGUCUGUCGUGAAAUCUCCCGGCUUAACCGGGAUAGGUCGACGGAUACUGGCGGGCUUGAGGGGAGCAGAGGAAGGUGGAAUUCCCGGUGUAGUGGUGAAAUGCGUAGAUAUCGGGAGGAACACCAGUGGCGAAGGCGGCCUUCUGGGCUCUACCUGACGCUGAGACGCGAAAGCGUGGGGAGCGAACCGGAUUAGAUACCCGGGUAGUCCACGCCGUAAACGAUGGAUACUAGGUGUGGGGGGUAUCGACCCCCUCCGUGCCGAAGCUAACGCUCUAAGUAUCCCGCCUGGGGAGUACGGCCGCAAGGCUA
Molecule: ribosomal RNA, 377 nt
Filed under: uncultured bacterium
Lineage: Bacteria
Description: bacterial SSU rRNA
Rfam family: Bacterial small subunit ribosomal RNA
Source: RNAcentral